RNAcentral lists this ribosomal RNA (550 nucleotides) under uncultured bacterium. RNAcentral describes it as "bacterial SSU rRNA". It matches the Rfam family "Bacterial small subunit ribosomal RNA", at positions 355 to 896 of the family's 1533-position model. The record is from RNAcentral.
UAGGGAAUCUUCGGCAAUGGACGGAAGUCUGACCGAGCAACGCCGCGUGAGUGAAGAAGGUUUUCGGAUCGUAAAGCUCUGUUGUAAGAGAAGAACGAGUGUGAGAGUGGAAAGUUCACACUGUGACGGUAUCUUACCAGAAAGGGACGGCUAACUACGUGCCAGCAGCCGCGGUAAUACGUAGGUCCCGAGCGUUGUCCGGAUUUAUUGGGCGUAAAGCGAGCGCAGGCGGUUUGAUAAGUCUGAAGUUAAAGGCUGUGGCUCAACCAUAGUUCGCUUUGGAAACUGUCAAACUUGAGUGCAGAAGGGGAGAGUGGAAUUCCAUGUGUAGCGGUGAAAUGCGUAGAUAUAUGGAGGAACACCGGUGGCGAAAGCGGCUCUCUGGUCUGUAACUGACGCUGAGGCUCGAAAGCGUGGGGAGCGAACAGGAUUAGAUACCCUGGUAGUCCACGCCGUAAACGAUGGGUGCUAGGUGUUGGAUCCUUUCCGGGAUUCAGUGCCGCAGCUAACGCAUUAAGCACUCCGCCUGGGGAGUACGACCGCAAGGUUG